GAUGAACGCUGGCGGCGUGCUUAACACAUGCAAGUCGAACGGAAAGGCCACAGCUUGCUGUGGUACUCGAGUGGCGAACGGGUGAGUAACACGUGGGUGAUCUGCACUGUACUUCGGGAUAAGCUUGGGAAACUGGGUCUAAUACCGGAUAGGAAUUACAUGUGGGUGUGUGGUUGGAAAGCUUUUGCGGUAUGGGAUGAGCUCGCGGCCUAUCGGCUUGUUGGUGGGGUAAUGGCAUACCAAGGCGUCGACGGGUAGCCGGCCUGGGAGGGUGUACGGCCACAUUGGGACUGAGAGACGGCCCAGACUCCUACGGGAGGCAGCAGUGGGGAAUAUUGCGCAAUGGGCGCAAGCCUGAUGCAGCGACGCCGCGUGGGGGAUGACGGCCUUCGGGUUGUAAACUCCUUUCGUCAGGGACGAAGCGAAAGUGACGGUACCUGGAUAAGAAGCACCGGCUAACUACGUG
Molecule: ribosomal RNA, 466 nt
Filed under: uncultured bacterium
Lineage: Bacteria
Description: partial 16S ribosomal RNA
Rfam family: Bacterial small subunit ribosomal RNA
Source: RNAcentral